This 1170-nucleotide long non-coding RNA is filed under the name Ficedula albicollis (Collared flycatcher). RNAcentral describes it as "lncRNA (ENSFALG00000023156.1)". The record is from RNAcentral. Lineage: Eukaryota; Metazoa; Chordata; Aves; Passeriformes; Muscicapidae.
GAUGGGGAAGGGUCUGCAGGGGAAGACUUAUAGGGAGAGGCUGAGGGCACGUGGUGUGUCUCAGAGAAGAGAUUGAGGUCAGACCUCAUUGGGUUCUUCAGCAUCCUCAUGAGGGGAAGAGGAGGGAGAGACACUGAUCUCUCUGUCAUGACCACAUGACAGGACUGAAGGAACAUCUGGAGCUGUGUCAGGGGAGGGUUGUGACUGGUUAUCAAUCAAAGGCUGUUCCCAGAGAGGGUGGUGGGCACUGACCUGGCUCCCCAGGAAUUGGGCACAGCCCAGAGCUCCAGGAGCAUUUGGACAAUGCUCUCAGGGAUGCACAGAGUGGAUUGUUGGGGUGCCUGUGCAAGGCCAGGAGUUUGACUGAUGAUGAAUGAUCCUUUUGGCUCCCUUCCAACCCAGGCUAUACUCUGAUUCUGUCAUGCUGUGGUUCUGUGGUUCUAUGAUUCUGUGGUUCUAGGGUUUUGUGAUACUACUAUUACAAAUUCCUGCUGCUACAGAGAUAAACUACUUUUCUUACUUCUUCUUGUAAAAGAAAGAUCUGCCUCACUCGAAGGGAUGAAAAAAUGGACAUGCCAGGUCGAGCUCAAAGAUACCUCAUUUUUGUUCAGCAUUUAUAUCCCUGACAGAGCUGUCUGUGUUGCUCUCCAUGUCUGAAGUACAUGCAGAUAUACAUUACCCAUCUGAGCUGCACUAUCUGGGGCAGGCAUUUGCUGUUCCAUGCAAGUAAGCCAUGAGGAAAUAAGGCACUUUCAGGUAUAUAUUAGUAAGCUCUCAGUUCUUUGCUUAACUACUUAAGCAAGACAGGAAACAGGAACAACAAACCCUUAGAGCCUCAACACAUUUCCAGGACUGGUCUUUGCAAGAUUGGACUUGGACUAAGUACAUAGCAGGUGGCUGAUGAAGACAAUAAAAACAGCAAUAAUAAUGUUCUGAGCUGAAAUUUGGAUUGAAAAUUCAUUUAAUUUGAAAUUAAAAUUUUGUCUUUUUCUUUUUUUUUUGGAGAAAAAUAUAUUUCAUAACAGUUUCUAUUUUCAAACUUUUACAGGCCUCUUUGCAGUUAAGAAGUUUGAAACAUUUUGCAUGAACUUUGUGACAUAACUUUAUGUAAUUCCAUAAAGAAGUCCAGAAUUGCUUGUCUUGCUUUGUAGCUUUUUUUUAUAGCAUGAU